Mastomys coucha (southern multimammate mouse) is the source of this 277-nucleotide long non-coding RNA. RefSeq lists it as uncharacterized. The record is from RefSeq and is a predicted model, not a curated record. NCBI's taxonomy places the organism in Eukaryota, Metazoa, Chordata, Mammalia, Rodentia, Muridae. The transcript is spliced from 3 exons.
GUUAAAGACUAGGAGUACAGUAGUGAGAGGCGUGAGAAGAAAAAAAAAAGGGAAGAUAGCAGGAUGCACAGGGUGCUCUGACUGUAUAACAUCUCAGAAGAUAACAGUGGGUGGUGAUGGAUAUGCCCCUUGACUGCAUUGGAAUAAUCACCUCAUAAUGGAUGCUAAAAGAAAGAUUCUGUACCUGUUAAUGGCAAACUAAACACAAGAUGUUUAAAGGAAGAAGAAUAUAAGUUAUCCUGAACUCCAGAGGCAAAAUCUGAAUGGGGGAGUCAGU